This 8616-nucleotide long non-coding RNA is filed under the name Panax ginseng (ginseng). RNAcentral describes it as "long non-coding RNA (PGIN_LNC003335)". Lineage: Eukaryota; Viridiplantae; Streptophyta; Magnoliopsida; Apiales; Araliaceae. The record is from RNAcentral.
CGGUUACCAUUUACAGCCCUACUGAAUAGUAUCGAACUCUAUAUUACCAUUUUAUGAGCUGCAUAUCUCAAUUGCAGAACUUUAAAGCAGCAAUAUCCACCUUUAUGAAACAAGAAGAAUGUUUACUCCAGCAAGAAACAUAUUCAUGAACACUGAAUUGAAAUGCCAAAUAUUUUGUUACAAAACAAUAGUCUAUUUUCUCAUAUAUCAAGAAAAAAAAUAGGGGACAAAAGAAAAACUUUUCUGUUAUGCUGAUCAUAAAUACAAAUGCUACAAUUUGGUAAUGAGAAACUUCUGUCCUCUGGAAUCACGCUUUCCAAUCCCCUGCACUGGAACUGGUGUUCUAAAAUGAUUUGCCAUUUACACCUGCACAUAAGGCCUAGUGUCAGAAAGUACUGUGCAAAAGUCUAUGAAGAUAAUUAUAAAUAACUAGAUUUAGAAACAAACAAUAUCUCAGUUAGAGAAGAUUGCAAGAAGGUGAGUAAACAGUGCAUAUACUUUCCAUAAUUUUUGUUCCUGUUUCGGUAAACAAACUGCUUGCAAUAAAUAAACAUGGAAGUUGAUAAGAUUCAUGAUAUGGAAAUGUCUAGCCUACAAUCUACCACCCAAAUGGUAUGCCGAUGAGGAGUACAACGAUACACAGCAGCACAAGCUCUUUCUUUUCAACAUUAAAGGUUAGGGUUCUUCCAAUGCGAGGAAAUCACCAGUUGCUCAAAUAACACUAUCAUAAAACUUAUUCAAAGGGACGCAAAGUCUAUUUUAACUAUUUGAAUCCCUUUUAAACAGUAUGUGCCCCAAAAGUUGCUUAGAUUGUGGGACUCUCCUUAACCCCCCAUAAAUGAGAGGCUUUCGUCCUCAAGGGCAUUGGCAUUGGCACUUAGUAUCAAAUACAAAUGAUACAAUUUUGACCGAGGAAUUAGGCAACAUCAAUAAAUACGCAGCUUAAAUUUUCAAGACUUGAUAAUAUCAAAAAUAUGAAAGUGUACCUAAUUUAAGUCAUUUGGCUUUUCCCAAUACAACUAGGAUAUUGGGUCAAAGUAGAACAUUUUUUAACUUUACAAAUGCCAAACAAAAGUACAAUACAUGAGCUAAAACAAUUGAAAAAUAAUUUCACCUGAAAUACAACUCAAGAACAUAUAAUGCCAGCCCAUAUCCAACUUAUAAACAUAAAACAUCAGCUAACAUUUAGAAAAUGUAAAAAUUAUAAUAUUAUCCUCUCUUAUUUAACAUUAAGUUCAAAAAUUAUAAUAAUGAAUUUGAUACGUUAUAAUAAAUCUAAAUAUUAAAACUACUUCAGCAGUAAAUUAACCAAAAAUCAACAUAGAAUAAGACUUAAUUUAACCACAAGCUGUUAUUUUAAUCGCAGUCUAUGUAAAUUCUGAGUAGGCCCACUUUUUGGAUAGCAUCCUUUUCACCCUCAGAACACAUCUAUAAACUCUCAAAGUUAAGACCUCUCCACUGUUUAUGGUCAAGACUUUUCCAUUAAGAUCCCAAAUUUCAAGUUCUCAUAACAAAUCAUAACAAAAGAAGACUAUUUGAGAAGUAAACAAAUAAACUCAAAUACUCGAUAUGCAAAAUAAACAAAUCAUUCAAAGAAUUAAAUGCAUUGAACCUCAUGACUAAUGGAGUUAUUAUGAUUUUAGUCACUACUAAUUUACUAAUAUAAAUGUACGAAAAAUAUUAAGCUUUAUGGCUUUUUAGAAAACCAGAGAGGAUUACAUAUGAAAAAACAAAUGACAGUUAAAAAAAUCUGAUAUGAGAAAAAAGGUGUAGCAGCAAAGUGUUUGGCUAUAAAAAACCACAAAACCAGAAAAGAAAAAUAAGGAAUCAUACCUCAAUUUCCAUGAACCGAUACAUGUAAAUGGGACACGGGCUCAAUCCCGAAGGCCAAGUUCAAGCUCAAGUUCAUCAUCCUCUUCAAACAACUUUAACAGGCGAGCAUACUGCUCUUCACGUUUCUUCUUUUGCCAUAAUUUGAAAAGAAAAAUUGACAAAAGCACAAAUACCAAAAGAACAACGAAUAUGAUGACUACCCGCGUCCCUGUACUGCCACUGGAAGUAGCCUGAACAUCAGCCUUCUUUCCAUCUUUGGAACUUGAUGAAUCAUCUGAAAAGCCUGAAAGGAUCAAACAUGUCUCAGAGACUACACUAUCAUUUUCUUGGAAGAUCUUAGUCAAAAGCUGGAAAGGAGACUACAUAUAUGGGGUUUUUGUGUGGGUGGGUGGGUUUUUUUUUUUGGGGGGGUGGUGGGGGUGGGGGAGAAAGGCCCAUCUAAAUUUGGAUAAGAUAUAUAGUAACUGGAGAUGUAUGGAACAUGAUUCUGUUAACCUCAAACAGGUCAUACAUAAUUCACUGAUAACAAUAAUCCAGAUACAUGUAGGAUAAAGUUCUACAGAUAUAUGUAUAUAUUUAGCCUUUUUUAGACUUCUACAUAUAUAUGUAUAUAAUGGAGCUAUUGCUAAUAUAUAUAAAGUGAUUACACAUUGAUAUCCUGUUACUUUAUGCAUAUAGGUUUUUCAUAUCUUUUCUCGAAUUCAUUGAAAUAAAAAAGUAUUAGCAUGAUUUCUAAAAAUUUAUAUAUACAGAUUACAAAGAGAAGGAUAAAAGAGGACAAAGUCACUGCAGAGAUUUCUUGUCUCAGGUUGACAACUGUAUUUAUUGGUAAGGAUGACUGAAUACUUGACGCUCUUUUUUAUUAUAUAUAAUAUAAAACGGGAAUUUGAUUGUUGAAUUUCUAAGGUGUCUAUGAACUCUUUCAAUAAAGGGGUGAAUAAGUAUACACUGGACUGGAUUUAGCCGCUCCCAAGUCUCUACUCAAUAUUAUUCGAAAUAAUAUUCAUAAAAAACUUAUAAAAGUACUUGUUUAAGAAUUGAAAUAACAUGAUUCCAUUUAAAUAUCUCCAAUUUGCUUUCUUAUAGAACAAGUACCUAUAAUAUUUUUGCUUUCAAGUGACAUUCUGUGUUGAAAUUUCAAAAGCUCCAAAGUACUAUAAAAUUCAAAUUAUAUUCAAGAUUGAACCUUUAAUGUGUCCUGAUUUCAUUUACAGUUUCCCUAACUGAACAGGAUACUUAUACUAAAAUAUUAGGAAGUGGCUAGCUGCCUUAAUGAUGAGUGCAUAUUAUUCAUUUAUUUUGAUUCCAUUAUAUUUAGUUUUAUUGCAUGUUUCAUGGGUAUAUGAGCUUAUUAAGGUAUUUAAUGAUUUCAGGAAGAAUUGGAGCUGAAAUGAGGAAAAAGAGAAAAUUGCAGAAUUUUUAGCAUUAAGUUGGAUGCAUGUUCUUAGCUUGGGACUUGAAUUUUAUUGUAGAGCUCUUCUUUAGCUUUCCGGAACAUCUUGAAUCGUCCCAAUCGGAGUUCAUAUGAAAAAGUUAUGAUAUUUUUACUAAACGAACGUUGAACCUCAAAGUUUGGAAGUUGUAAUUUACACAGCAGUCACUUGGAGGCCGAUUUCGACCUUGAUGCAGAGCGAUUCUGUCGAUUCUCAAAGAAUGAAAGUUGUAGAUCUCGUCGAUAUCUUCGUUUUGAUAGGUAGCAGGCCCCGUAACUCCUCCUAGAUCAAAAGUUAUGCUCGUUUUACCAAAGGACGUCGCAGCAGGAAAUGAAAAUUCACCCCAGCGAAUUUGAGCGGGAAAAUCAAGAAAUCUUGGAUUUUUGGAAAGUUUCUAAAUGCAGAUUUUGGUAGACUUCUACAUGGAAUUGGAUUGAUAUUUCUAUUAGCUUUAGGAUUUCCUUUAGACUAAGAUUUAUUUCCAAAUUGAAUUCUAUUUCUUUAUGGAAACUAGUUAUGAUUUGUAAAUCCUUUUAGGAUUUGGAUUUCUACAUCCUAUAGGAUUUAGGACUUUGUCUAGCACUAUAAAUAGAGGAUGAGGGUCAAGGUUUUAUUCAUUCAAUAUUCAACAUUCAAGUAUCCUCUAUUGGAGUGAAGGCUCAAGAGCAUGUCAGGCUAGUUCUUUUUAUUCAGUUCUAAAGGGAGGUGAAUCCUUGUUACAAGUAAUUAAUUAAUUGAGUAUUAUUAUUUAUUCCUUCUUGUGUGAAAUUUCUUCUGAUAAUCUGUUUUCAUUGAUUGCAUGCUAAUUGAUCUAAUUAAUUUAAUAUGGCCAAUUGAGUUAAUUUGAUCAUUAUCAUAUGCUAGAUUAAGAUUGGUAUUACGUGUAAUUGAUAUCUCUCUUCAUCACAAGUAGCAACUUGGUAAUAAUAAUUGUGGACAAACUUUUGUUUAUUGCUAAGAUUAUUAGAAAACAAGUUAAAUAAAUCGAGCUUAUGUGUUUGUUGCUUGGAUUAGCCUAAUUUUCUAUUUCUUAAUGCUUCUAUCAUAUUAAAUCUAGAGAGCUUAUUCUAGGUUAUAUGCUAGUUAGAAUCUGGUGGAGAGCUUGUUUCAUACAGUGAUAAUCUAAGGAGAAUUUCGGAUAGCAGAGCUUAUUGUUAUCUAGGGCUAAUAAUUUCAUUGAAGGAAAAAUAAUAAUUACUUGAUUAAUUGAUUGUUGUACUUGGUGAAACUGAACUGCAGAACUGAAGUUUUUACAUAUUUGGUUAAUUUUAUCGUUAAUUCUUGUUCUCUUAGUUUAAAAAUAAUUUUCAAAAAACCCCCAUCUUUAUUUUCUGUUAAAAUAGUAGAAUAAUUCUAAAACAACUUUACUCUCUGUGGGAUCGAUCCUUACUUGCUACUGUGCUAAUUAUUGUAAAUUGUGGAGUGAAAGUGAGGUUAAUUUAGGAGUGUCAACGACAGCUCCCAAAUUUUGGCGCCGUUGCCGGGGAGUAAUUUGGCGUUUUGUUUUUAUUCUAUUAUUUGUUUUGUUUUUGUUUUAUGACUCGAUCUUCUCAGGCUACUAUAUUAGAUUUUGAUCCAGAGAUUGAGAAAACUGCAAGGAGGCUAAAGAAGGAAAAACUUAAAGUUCAACAGUCUUCUGCAUAUAUAGACGAGGCUUCUGCAUCAUCACCAGGCCUCAACUUAGCUUUGGAAUUAUUAUCCAACGAAUCCGACAAAGAAGAAGAGAUGGCGAUUCCAAACAACAAUAGAACUCUCAGGGAGUUGGCAACUCCUAAUUUAAAUCAACAACCUCUGUGCAUUGAAUAUCCUAAUUUAGAUGCUGCAUUUGAACUUAAAUCUGGACUAAUCCAUUUACUGCCUACUUUUCGUGGUCUUACAGGUGAAGACCCCUACAAACAUCUGAAGGAAUUUCAUGUGGUGUGCUCUACUAUGAAACCAAACGGAAUCACCGAAGAACAAAUCAAGCUGAGAGCAUUCCCAUUCUCCCUAGCAGAUUUGGCAAAGGAUUGGUUGUACUACCUACCCUCAGGUUCAAUACAGUCUUGGAAUGACAUGAAGCAGCUAUUCUUGGAGAGAUACUUUCCAGCCUCAAGAGUAGCCAACAUAAGGAAGGAGAUCUGUGGGAUUAGACAAUUCAGUGGGGAGACAUUAUACGAGUAUUGGGAAAGAUUCAAAAAACUUUGUUCCAGCUGUCCACCGCAUCAAAUAGAUGAACAACACCUGAUCCAGUAUUUCUACGAAGGGUUGGUACCGAUGGAUAGAAGCAUGAUCGAUGCAGCUAGCGGAGGAGCACUAUUUGACAAGACCCCAGAGGCGGCAAGGAAUUUAAUUGCAAACAUGGCAGCAAACUCACAACAAUAUGGCACUAGAACAAAUCAUGCACCAGUAAGGGUAAGCGAGGUAAGCACUUGUGAUUAUGGUCAACAAAUUUCUGAAUUAACUGCUAUGGUUAGACAAUUAGCUACAGGUCAAUUGCCAAUUGCAAAGGUUUGUGGAAUAUGUCUACAACCAAAUCACAAUACAGAUGAAUGCCCAACAUUACAAGAUGACGAGGCUGUGCAACAAGCUAAUACAAUGGGAAAUUAUCAGCCACCACCUCAGAAAAAGUAUGAUCCGUACUCAAACACAUAUAACCCAGGAUGGAGGGAUCAUCCAAGUCUGAGUUAUGGGAGCAAGCAAGCGGCACCACCUGCAUUUCCACCUAGGCAGCAGGGCUUCCAACCAGCCCAACCUCAAUAUCAACCGAAGCAAGCAGUCCAUGCACCUACUGGAACAUCAUUGGAGGAUAUGUUCAAAGCAUUCAUGGGACAGACACAACAGUUCAUGAAUCAGACACAGCAGUUCCAGCAAGAGACAAAAACUUCGGUUCAAGAUUUGAGGAACCAAGUAGGACAACUGGCUACAACUGUGGGGAUAUUGGAAUCUAGAGGCUCAGGAAAAUUACCAUCUCAAACAGUAGUCAACCCAAGGGAGAAUGCAAGUGCCAUAACUUUACGGAAUGGAACACAGUUGGAUACACCACCGACCCCCGUAGAGUUCAAGAAGGAAGCAGCUAAGGAGGGAACAGAAAAAUCCAAGGUAAAACCUAAACCUCCUAAUCAGCUUAAAAACAUUCCUCUUCCCUUUCCUUCCAGAAUUUCUAAAACUUCAAAGAACGAUGAAAAAGAAAAAGAAAUUUUGGAAACUUUUAGAAAAGUAGAAGUGAACAUCCCUCUUCUUGAUGCAAUUAAACAAGUACCACGGUAUGCUAAAUUUUUAAAAGAAUUAUGCACUAAUAAAAGAAAAUUGCAAAAUGAUGAAAGAGUCACAGUUGGAGAAAAUGUAUCUGCUGUUCUUCAAAGAAAAAUGCCUCCUAAAUGUAAAGAUCCAGGAAUGUUCACAAUCCCAUGCAAAAUAGGAAACACCAGAUUUGAAAAAGCCAUGCUAGAUUUAGGAGCUUCAAUUAAUGUUAUGCCUUUAUCUGUUUAUGCUUCCUUAAAUCUAGGCCCUUUAAAAAAUACUGGUGUGAUUAUCCAAUUGGCAGAUCGUACUAACACCUACCCCCGAGGGGUAAUUGAAGAUGUCUUAGUGCAGGUGAACGAACUAAUCUUUCCUGCAGAUUUUUACAUUGUGGAUAUGGAAGAUGAUACAUCACCAAAUCCUUCCCACAUCUUGUUAGGAAGACCCUUCCUAAAAACAGCGAGAACCAUGAUUGAUGUGCAUAAUGGGACCUUGACUAUGGAGUUUGAUGGUGAGAAAAUUCAGUUUAACAUCUAUGAUGCCAUGAGGUACCCUAGUGAUAUAGGACAAGUUUUUGCUAUCGAUGUGAGAGACUCCUUGGUGCAUAGAGCUUUUGAACAACUACAUAGGGACAAUUUGGAAAUUGCAAUCAACAACAGUUUGGACAUGGACAGAGAAGAAGAGAUUGCGCAAACCCAGGAAUUGAAAGAGAAUGUAGCUGCAUUACAUUCAUUGCCAAAAUUUUCAAAUAAGUCAACGGUAUAUUCUAUUCAAUUUCCUGUUUCUCAUCAAAAGUUAUUACCUUCUGUUGUACAAGCCCCAACUCUAGAAUUGAAACAAUUACCUGCUCAUUUGAAAUAUGCAUAUUUGGGGACUAAUGACACUUUGCCUGUAAUUAUUGCUAGUAAUCUAACCAAGGUGCAGGAAGAAAAAUUGAUGAGAAUCCUAAGGGACCAUGUUACAGUUUUUGGUUGGACAAUAGCGAAUAUCAAGGGUAUUAGUCCUGGCAUGUGCAUGCAUCGGAUAUUGUUAGAGGAUGGAGCUAAGCCUACAAGAGAUGCGUAAAGGAGAUUGAAUCCACCCAUGAUGGAGGUGGUGAAAAAAGAAGUGCUCAAAUUGCUUGAUGUCGGUAUCAUCUAUCCCAUCUCCGAUAGUCAAUGGGUGAGUCCAGUGCAGGUAGUCCCAAAUAAAUCCGGAAUCACCGUUGUCAAGAACGAUGAUAAUGAGUUGGUGCCCACACGAAUGCAAACAGGGUGGAGAGUGUGUAUAGAUUAUAGAAAAUUGAAUGCUGUAACAAGAAAAGAUCACUUUCCUCUUCCUUUUAUUGAUCAAAUGUUGGAGAGAUUAGCUGGGCACACUUAUUAUUGUUUUCUAGAUGGUUUCUCAGGAUAUAACCAGAUUAUGAUUGCACCCGAGGACCAAGAGAAGACCACAUUCACAUGUCCCUUUGGUACUUUUGCCUAUCCACGAAUGUCUUUUGGACUGUGUAAUGCCCCAGGUACUUUUCAAAGAUGCAUGGUAAGCAUUUUUUCAGAUCUUUUAGAAGAAUGCAUCGAGGUUUUUAUGGAUGAUUUCACAAUUCAUGGUGAUUCUUUGGAUGCAUGCUUAGAUAAUUUAAAUCGUGUUCUAGAUAGAUGCAUGAAAACUAAUCUUGUUUUAAAUUGGGAAAAAUGUCAUUUCAUGGUAGAACAGGGAAUAGUACUUGGUCAUGUUGUGUCAUCUAAAGGUCUUGAAGUUGAUAAAGCUAAGAUAGAUGUUAUAUCUACUUUGCUUUACCCCAUCAGCGUGCGGGAGAUUCGCUCUUUUCUUGGUCAUGCAGGAUUUUAUCAAAGAUUUAUCAAGGACUUCUCGAAGAUGGCAUUACCCUUAUGUAAGUUGCUGCAAAAAGAUGUGAACUUUCAGUUUGAUGAUGAAUGCAAGGAGGCUUUUGACACUUUAAAGAAAUUAUUAACUUCUGCUCCUGUCAUUCAACCGCCAAAUUGGAAGUUACCAUUUGAGAUCAUGUGUAACGCAAGCAACUAUGCAGUGGGGGUUGUUUUGGGACAAAGGAUUGACAAAGCCGUUCAUGCCAUCUACUAUGCUUCUAGGACUUUGAAUGAGGCUCAGAUAAACUAUUCCACAACUGAAAAAG